RNAcentral lists this transfer RNA (77 nucleotides) under Clostridia bacterium. Its description in RNAcentral is "tRNA-Met". It matches the Rfam family "tRNA". From Rfam's summary of the family: Transfer RNA (tRNA) molecules are approximately 80 nucleotides in length. The record is from RNAcentral. Lineage: Bacteria; Bacillati; Bacillota; Clostridia.
GGCGACGUAGCUUAGUUGGUUAGAGCGGCCGGUUCAUACCCGGCAGGUCAGCGGUUCGAAUCCACUCGUCGCUACCA